Nicotiana attenuata is the source of this 5059-nucleotide long non-coding RNA. RefSeq lists it as uncharacterized. NCBI's taxonomy places the organism in Eukaryota, Viridiplantae, Streptophyta, Magnoliopsida, Solanales, Solanaceae. The transcript is spliced from 2 exons. The record is from RefSeq and is a predicted model, not a curated record.
CAAGGGAACCUAGAAUUUAGCUUCGGCACCUAUCCCCUGUGACCCUGCAAAUAUCUAGUCAAAACCUAAUGUAACAGUUUUAAAAGAAGUCAGGUUCCUAACUUCCUUAGAACUUGCUGAACUCUUUCUCUUUUGGUUGGAAGCAUAGAACUACCGUAUCCUUUAUUUUCUCAUUUCCUGGUGAUUAUCAGAUUUAUGGAAUUAGGGAACAUUAUUCAUAAAGACGAUACAGGUGAUUGCACCUUCGUGCUUACUAAAUUUAUUGGCUGGAGCUUCUCAGACACUUUGAAGAUUGAAAUGCCUUUUUUUCCCUUUUGGGUUGGGUUUUUUUAUGCUGACAAUUCCUUGUCGGAGACAUUCCAUAUUUUCUAAUUAUUCUGAUUGGCACUGACAACUAUAACUUCUAAUCUUUGUUGUUUUCUAAAGCUUGACUAUGAAUAUUACAUGUAUGUGAAUAAUAUUGAUUUUUCACAUCAUGACGAGGAAUCUCUUAAAUGAGCCAUGCUCUUUGAAUAGGAAUAAAAUAUGUUGUUUUCAGUUCUUCACACUUUAUGGGCCUUAUUUUACUUAUAUGAUAGCCUCUUUCAUAUGUUUUGCAAUUACCUUUUUUAUUACAUCUAUUAGUGAGUAUGCACCGGGUAUGUUGUUGUUGUUAGUGUGUAUGCAUCUAGAAAGCAAGCUGAAGAGCUAGAUAUAGAACCUUGGUGACAUGUCUUGCCUCAAGACUGUUAAUUCUUGAUUGUCGUGCUCAUACUGGAGCCAAUUUGCACAACUACUAAGAAAUCAAACUAGUGAACUCUCAAAGAAGUCACUCUAUGCAACUUGGUAUGACAAGAUAAAACCAAGUAUGUUGUGGCAGAAAGCUUAAAAACUAGAAAUAACAAGCAGCCAGAAAUUAGUGGAAAGUUAUUAGGAGACCUUUUAAAGAACUUCAAUACUCUGGUAAUGUUCAAAGUUCAAACUUAAAAUCUGAAGGUGUAAUCUGUUACUGCAUUUUGAUUAGGUCAUGAAAUUUUUGCAAGUGUUGCAACCGUAACGUGUUAACAACAACAACAACAACCGUAACGUGUUACGUGGACAAAAUAGCUGCAAGCUUUUCAACUAACAUUGUUGUUGAGGGACUCGUUCCUAGAAUGUGGUGGAUAAGUGUUAGCAAUGAACAGUAAUAGUUACUCAGUGCUUAUACAAUCCUAUUUGUAGAGAGAGAGGGGGAGAGAAGAAGAAUUCACAUAGUAUCGCCUAUGUUGAGAUUCGAGCCUUGGUUCCCAAGGUCAUUACUCUUCUCUUCGACUUCUGGGCUAUCCCGUUGAAGGUGUUUAUGGCAUAUGGCUAUUACGGGACAUUUAUUCCUCUAGAGAGUAGAGACAUAGUUAUCUUAUCAAAAACAAUUCCUCCAGAGACAUAAUGUUAAUAGUUCUGAGCUAAUAACCUCCUCCACAUGUAUUCCACCAUUGUUUUUGCUGAAAUUAUAGGCUGAUGAUCCUCAGAUUACUUUGAGGUUUGAAGUCCUUUCUUUCCUUUUGGGUUAAACAAUUGGACAGUCUUUAGAGUCUUCAUAGAAUAGUAGUCAGCGUGAAAUAGCAUUAGAUGUCUGGGCAACAAUUAAUGUAUUGGUCCAUUAUGAUAAAACUAUCAAAUGAACCUUGCUCCUAGCAUAGGAAUAAUUUAAUUUAUGUUUUCUUUGUAAGUAAAAUUGGCAAGACAUGGUGAUGCUUCAGAUUACCGAUGACAUGAUCCUUGAUAGAAAGGUUUUGGAGGUCAAGGAUUAGCGUAGAAGGUUAGGUGGUCGAGUGGUUUUUCUUGGUCUCACUAGUAGCAUUAGUACAUACUCUCGUCUUGUUUUUAGUCUUAGGUUUCUAUUAUUGCCUGGUGUUGCUUUUGUUUUGGUUAUCUUACUAUCUUGCUGUUUUCAAUGCUUCUUUUCCAUGGCUCCUCAUUAUUGUUUCUGCCUGUUUUCUUUUCAUUAUUGUUGUGAUUAUGCUUCACUGAGCCGAGGGUCUAUUGAAACAACCUCUUUAUCUCCACAAGAUAGGGGUAAGGUCUGCGUACACACUACCCUCCCCAGAACCCACUACGUGAGAUUAUACUGUGUUUGUUGUUGUUGUUGUUUGUAAGUAAAAUUGAAUCAAACCAAACUGUUAAGUGUGAACACCUUGUCUGAAGUUGUUUAAUUUUUCUAACUUAAAAGAAGUUCCAACCAAUUACUGUAAUCUCUACUUUUUUUGUAUUUGUCUGCAAUAACUAUCUGUACCCUCUAACCAAAUAAUUAUUGUAAUCUUCUCUUUAUUUAUCUUCAAUUAAUGUAAUCUUCUAUUAUUCAGAAGUAGUAAAAUGCAUUUAUACUAAGUGAACGCUUCAUCACAUCUCACUUUCGGGUUGGUUAUAAAUGGUGAAAAAAUCAUAUCCUAACACAUGUGUUUAGUUUUUUUCAUAUCGGUCAAUCUCGUUCCUUUUUCUUUCUUGGAUGCUAGAUGGUGGUCCGUCUCAUCGAAUGAUAAUCUUUCAUGUUAUAUGUAAGGAGAAUCACAAACCUGACAAAUAUGUGUGACCAUCUCUAAAAGAAAGAAUACAGUAUUUCCUGGUGUUUAGAUAGAUUUUUGUCAUUUCAUUUACAAAAGAAUGCCUGUAUGUGAAAAAUAUGUCUUAUCGCUUUCUUGAAAAAGACACAUUUGUCAGGCUUGUGAUUCUCCUCUAAUAGCAUGGAAAAUAUUAUCAACUGGUGAGUGGACCUCCAUUCAUCUGAGUUGGAAAACGGAAUGGGUCAUUGAUCGGGUACUUCUCCGGCGCUGGAGCUGGAGCACUUUCACUGAUUUUCAAGAUUUCAGUGAUGUUUUUGAGUUGGUGAAAUUGUUUUUUUCCUCAGAACCCCAGAUUGAUUAACCCUUUGAGUGAUUCUUAUCCUGUUCUAUGAGUUUUUUUUUUGUGUGUGUGUGUGUGGGGAUGCGUACAGAUUUUGGAACCUUAUUAACUACUUCAAUAUAAUUACCAAAUUUAUAAUCCAAAUUUGCUUUUAGAAGAAGCUAGGAAGAUUUUGAUAAUGUAAUUUCUGGAAAUUGUUCUUUUAUUGACUGUUAUGAUGUAUGUAUCUAUAAAUUCAAACUCUAGAAGAUUAAGUUAGCUUACUAGUGCAUCCACGAAACCAUAGAUUGAAUUAUUUUACCGAUUACUAGUAAGCUCUAUUGCAGGAAAAGGAUAUGUUUCUAAAACUCGACGAUAGGAUUGCUUGGUAAAUGAUUUCAUACUCAUCUUUGAUAAAAUUUGUUCUUGUUACUGGCCUGCUAUUUUUGAGCUUCUGUUUCUUAACAUGUUUAUGUCAGUAUUAUCCUAUUCUGUUUUUUGUUACUUGCAGACUUUGGGUUUCCUUCAGCACUUCCACAUACGGAUGGCUCAUUUGAAGGAGAAACUCCUGAAACGAGAGCCCAUCCAAAUGUAAAACCUGUCUGGAUACGUCCUGCUAUUCUAGAUUCAUAAAUGUUUGAGGAGAAUUGGCUACUUUGGAAUUAUCUUUGGUAUAUCUAAGGAACAGAUUGCAUGCUGAUGAUAUAUCUGAACAAAGUGGGAGAAUGGAGACUCGUAAUCCUGAAGCAUUAUCAGGUUUUGGUGCACAAGGUAAUUCCACCUUUACUAUUGGCUGAAGCUUCUCAGACCACUUUGAGGUAUGAAAUCCCUUUGUUUUGAAUUCGUGUUUCCCUCUGUCAUUCUCGUUUUAGACUCUAAAUGAUGCUAGACCUUGUCUCUGUCAACAAUAAAGACAUGCCGUUGCCUCAUUAGGAUAAAACGCUUAAAUGAACCUUGUUGCUCUUAGUAUAGGAAUGAUCUAAGUUGCUACUUCAGUACAAUAAAACUCUUAAAUGAACCUUGUUUCUCUUAGUAUGGGAAUAAUCUAGGUUGCUUUCAGUAAUGCACACCUUAUUUCACCUACUUUUUAGACCCUCUCGGUGUGUAAUGUAAAAGUAUUAUUAGAUAUAUUUAUAAGCUAAUGAGUAUGCAUCUGAAAGGCUCGCUGAAGUGCUAGAAAUAAAUGUUCAGUGACGCUUUUUCUACUCAAGAGUCAAGAGUGUAACUCUUAAUUCUCAGAACUCUUAUUGGAGCCACUUCGUAGAACAAACUACGAAGAAUUGAAAAUACUAAAUCUAUCGAAGAAAUAAUUCCUAUGCAACUUGGUAUAAUAAGUUGGAAAGCAAAACCAAGCAUGCUGCGGCAGCAAUAGUUACAAACCUGAAAUAACUGUCAAAAAGUAUUGGAAAGCUAUAGGAGAGCUUCAAUAUCUUGGUAAUGAUCUAACUUAAAGUUUGAACAUGUGAUUUAUAUCAGAAUUUGUGGGGCAUGAUAUAUUUUGAGGGUUGCAUGCAUUUCAACUUAAUUUAAUUCUUGCUGAGGAACUGUCAAGUAAAUCUGCUUGUUCUCCACACUUUUGUUCCCAUAGGUUGGUAUUGGCCUUCAAAGGGCAGAUCCAAUUCGUAAACAACACCAGCCUUGAACUAUUAGUGCAGCAGUUAUAUUUCCAUCAUUCUGAAAUCAAGCUGGUUGAUAAUAGUAGAAUGACGCCUUUAUAUAUUUUCCUUCAGUAGAAAGAAUUAUCUGCAUUAGGAAAGGAGUUCAGUUUAGUGCUCAUGCAAUACUGCAUGCCAUUGGAAAUUUUCUUGUUUCUACUUUCUUUGGUACUUUCAAUGUUACAGGGAUUGCCGCCUCCUGAGCCUAGUAUAUUCCAUGUCUUCGACUAAUCAUUUCCCCCCAGGUAUCCUUCUGUUUUUUUUAGUUUUAUGUACGUGUUAUUGAAACGAAUUGGCAGGAUAUCGAAAACCUGUGAGGGUAAAGUCAAGCUAAUAUAUAGGAUGACUGCGGCUGAAUGGAGCUGUGGUGGUUUGUGUGUUUGUAGUUUGCUUUCAUAUUAGGUCAGCAAAUUGAUCAGGUCUCUGAGCUCAAGAGGCGACUAAAAUCGACUAUUUGAAUCCUUAUUGUCCAUGUCGCUUGAUUUAACCCCAUCUUACUCUGAUAUUAUGUUCAAGAAUUUGUUGUAAUGCUUAAAUAAUGAGUGGAAGAUUGGAUAUUCAAGUAA